CAAAGAUUCAGUGACGAGGGAAAUCUGAGAAGACAUACAAGAAGCCACACAGGAGAUCCGGACGAGACGCAUUCGGGGCUCCUGGGAUCCAGGAGACGCUGAUGAAGCCGAGCUGUUUCCUGAGGCUGCUGUUUCAUUCCAUCAGACGGUCUUCAUCCGGUUCUUCAUCCCCCUCGUGGUCAUCAAGUCUCAACGUUGGACAGAGUCAGGGUCACUGGAGCGCGAGUCGGACUGGAAGGAACUCUGCUGAAGUGGAUUUGACCUUCAGGACCGUCUCCUAACCCAGGGACCCGAUCGGAACUCUUUCAUUUGGUUGGACAUAACUUCUCCUGUAAAGUGUCCUCCAGCACUCAGUAGAAUCAUCUCCUCCUUCAGGUUUGAGUUUUGAAACAAGAGUACAUUCAUUAGUUUAAAUAUAUAUUUAUUUUUAUUGCUUUUAAUAUUAGCAUAAAACAAUCAGGUCAAAACUGUUUAGUAGUUUAGUGUCUUCAUGUUACCGACAUGUACGUUACCGUGUCCUAUUAAAACACAUUUUAAUCACUUA
Long non-coding RNA from Pseudoliparis swirei, 544 nucleotides. RefSeq lists it as uncharacterized. The transcript is spliced from 3 exons. The record is from RefSeq and is a predicted model, not a curated record. NCBI's taxonomy places the organism in Eukaryota, Metazoa, Chordata, Actinopteri, Perciformes, Liparidae.